UAACUAAAGGAAAAAUCACCAUGAUAUAGAGAUCAUGUCUGCCGGUUUAAAGAAAACAUGAUAAGAAAGAAGAGAAAUUUCUCUUACUCUUUGGUGAUCUCUGAAUAUGAAACAAGACUUUCCGUGGACCAUCACAAUUCUGAAGAGCUGUUAAAAUCAUGCAAACUAAGCCACCAUGUAUUCUGUUACUCCUCUGGUAUAACACUUCUCCACAAUACUUACUAGAAGCAAAGUAUUAAUUUAGCCUUUUCAGGGCAUCAAUCUGCAAAGUGUCUCGAAAGCAAAAUUGAACUCCAUAGUGAGAUCUCCCACUGGACCUGAUUGGUUAAGCAACGUGAGAAUAACUGAACAUUGAAACUGGCUACAGCUCUUUAUUGAUUUUCCAUAUUUGCAGAGCAUGCUACUUAAUUUGCACCCAUCAUCAUGUUCCAAGGCUACUGUUCCUUUAUCUUUAAACUAACUGGCCGGCUAUAUACAGGAUACACCCACAUGGAUACAAAAGUUUAAAACAAAUGGAAGGGGUCAUAAUUUGUGCCAGUUCUGGUGUGGUUGCUUUCCAAGCCGCUUUAACAUAUACAUGCAUCCAGCUGCAGAAAAAAGACCAAGAGCCGCCAUAGCUAUAAUUGUUGAAUUUUCAAUAUUCUGGUAAAAACCUCUCUGAAUCAAAAGGAACAACAUAAGCGCGUUCGAAGGAGCGAUAGAUAAACUCAUCAUUCCUCCACGAAGAUCAUUAGGCACAUACAUGGUUCUCAAUCUGGCAAGUGAAGGCAAAACCAAUCCCACACAAGCAUGAAAUAUGCAGAAUAGCAUCAAAAGAAUUUCAACAUCCUGAUAAUCAAAAGCUACAACGGAAGUGACAAAGCCCAUAAUAAUACAGGCAUAUACUAAGCACUCCUCUGUUCGGAGUGAUAAAGGGCCACUAGAGAACCAGGAAAAUGCAGUGCUUCCAAGCAUUUUCGCACCAAGUACACAGGGGUAUACUAAACCUAGCAAAACCCCUCUCCCAUCUGCCACAAUGGUUGGAGCCCAAGUAAUCCAAAAAACUGCAAUUGAGAAGUGCAUGGUAGCUUGGGUCCAUGACAAAAGCCAAACCCUUUUAUCACUGAUUAUGUAUGUAUGAAAUUUAGUCUGAUAUUCUUUAAGAAUAAUUGAUUUUGGAUCUUCCUUCCAUCCUCGGCUGACAUAAGCCAGAGCACUAAGAGCCAUUAUUACCACUGCACUGGACGGAGCAAGCAAAGUUGUCUUUUCAUGACCACCAAUUAACCAGUUACCAACCACUUGGCUUCCAAUGAAAG
RNAcentral lists this unclassified non-coding RNA (1295 nucleotides) under Hevea brasiliensis (rubber tree). The record is from RNAcentral. Lineage: Eukaryota; Viridiplantae; Streptophyta; Magnoliopsida; Malpighiales; Euphorbiaceae.